GUCGAACGAGUUCUGAUUAUUGAAAGGUGCUUGCAUCUUGAUUUAAUUUUGAACGAGUGGCGGACGGGUGAGUAACACGUGGGUAACCUGCCCUUAAGUGGGGGAUAACAUUUGGAAACAGAUGCUAAUACCGCAUAAAUCCAAGAACCGCAUGGUUCUUGGCUGAAAGAUGGCGUAAGCUAUCGCUUUUGGAUGGACCCGCGGCGUAUUAGCUAGUUGGUGAGGUAACGGCUCACCAAGGCAAUGAUACGUAGCCGAACUGAGAGGUUGAUCGGCCACAUUGGGACUGAGACACGGCCCAAACUCCUACGGGAGGCAGCAGUAGGGAAUCUUCCACAAUGGACGCAAGUCUGAUGGAGCAACGCCGCGUGAGUGAAGAAGGCUUUCGGGUCGUAAAACUCUGUUGUUGGAGAAGAAUGGUCGGCAGAGUAACUGUUGUCGGCGUGACGGUAUCCAACCAGAAAGCCACGGCUAACUACGUGCCAGCAGCCGCGGUAAUACGUAGGUGGCAAGCGUUAUCCGGAUUUAUUGGGCGUAAAGCGAGCGCAGGCGGUUUUUUAAGUCUGAUGUGAAAGCCCUCGGCUUAACCGAGGAAGUGCAUCGGAAACUGGGAAACUUGAGUGCAGAAGAGGACAGUGGAACUCCAUGUGUAGCGGUGAAAUGCGUAGAUAUAUGGAAGAACACCAGUGGCGAAGGCGGCUGUCUGGUCUGUAACUGACGCUGAGGCUCGAAAGCAUGGGUAGCGAACAGGAUUAGAUACCCUGGUAGUCCAUGCCGUAAACGAUGAAUGCUAGGUGUUGGAGGGUUUCCGCCCUUCAGUGCCGCAGCUAACGCAUUAAGCAUUCCGCCUGGGGAGUACGACCGCAAGGUUGAAACUCAAAGGAAUUGACGGGGGCCCGCACAAGCGGUGGAGCAUGUGGUUUAAUUCGAAGCAACGCGAAGAACCUUACCAGGUCUUGACAUCUUUUGAUCACCUGAGAGAUCAGGUUUCCCCUUCGGGGGCAAAAUGACAGGUGGUGCAUGGUUGUCGUCAGCUCGUGUCGUGAGAUGUUGGGUUAAGUCCCGCAACGAGCGCAACCCUUAUGACUAGUUGCCAGCAUUUAGUUGGGCACUCUAGUAAGACUGCCGGUGACAAACCGGAGGAAGGUGGGGAUGACGUCAAAUCAUCAUGCCCCUUAUGACCUGGGCUACACACGUGCUACAAUGGAUGGUACAACGAGUUGCGAGACCGCGAGGUCAAGCUAAUCUCUUAAAGCCAUUCUCAGUUCGGACUGUAGGCUGCAACUCGCCUACACGAAGUCGGAAUCGCUAGUAAUCGCGGAUCAGCACGCCGCGGUGAAUACGUUCCCGGGCCUUGUACACACCGCCCGUCACACCAUGAGAGUUUGUAACACCCGAAGCCGGUGGCGUAACCCUUUUAGGGAGCGAGCCGU
This 1433-nucleotide ribosomal RNA is filed under the name Lacticaseibacillus rhamnosus. Its description in RNAcentral is "bacterial SSU rRNA". It matches the Rfam family "Bacterial small subunit ribosomal RNA". Lineage: Bacteria; Bacillati; Bacillota; Bacilli; Lactobacillales; Lactobacillaceae. The record is from RNAcentral.